GAUGAGACCAUGACCCAGAGGCAGAGCAUCUGCUUUGCAUGCAGAAGGUCCCAGAUUCAAAUUCUGGUUUUUUCC
RNAcentral lists this transfer RNA (75 nucleotides) under Sphaerodactylus townsendi. RNAcentral describes it as "tRNA-Ala". It matches the Rfam family "tRNA". From Rfam's summary of the family: Transfer RNA (tRNA) molecules are approximately 80 nucleotides in length. Their secondary structure includes four short double-helical elements and three loops (D, anti-codon, and T loops). The record is from RNAcentral. Lineage: Eukaryota; Metazoa; Chordata; Lepidosauria; Squamata; Sphaerodactylidae.